AACUGCACAGUGCGGUGCAU
RNAcentral lists this small nuclear RNA (20 nucleotides) under Arabidopsis thaliana (thale cress). RNAcentral's name for it is "snRNA_01743". The record is from RNAcentral. Lineage: Eukaryota; Viridiplantae; Streptophyta; Magnoliopsida; Brassicales; Brassicaceae.